UACGUAGGGACCGAGCGUUGUCCGGAAUCAUUGGGCGUAAAGAGCGUGUAGGCGGCCUGUUAAGUCUUGCGUGAAAGCCCACGGCUCAACCGUGGAGGGUCAUUGGAAACUGGGGGACUUGAGUACAGAAGAGAAGAGUGGAAUUCCACGUGUAGCGGUGAAAUUCGUAGAUAUUGGGAAGAACACCGGUGGCGAAGGCGGCGACCUGGUCCUUUACUGACGCUGAGGCGCGAAAGCGUGGGGAGCAAACAGG
This 253-nucleotide ribosomal RNA is filed under the name uncultured bacterium. RNAcentral's name for it is "partial 16S ribosomal RNA". It matches the Rfam family "Bacterial small subunit ribosomal RNA", at positions 524 to 776 of the family's 1533-position model. The record is from RNAcentral.